CCUAACAUUUCAUAAAUAUGCAAAUAAGAACCAAAGGAAGACCAUCCAUUUAAUCGUUAAUCGACCAAGAUUUUGCAAAAAAUUGAUAUUUUGACCAUACUAAGCUAGUGCAUUUUCGUCAAUUCCAUGACAACAUACAUUUUACAAUAUAAUUACAAUUAUAUAAUAAUGGAUAAUGAAUUCAAAAAAAGAUAGAAAAAAACAACCCCAGACCAAAAGGUUAUUUUCUUCACCUCACCCUGACUCACACCCACACCCACACCCACACCCACACCCACACCACCACACCCACCUCAAAACAGAACCCAAAAAAUUCACAUCCGCCGGCUGGUCAAUAGGCCAUAGCCACCUAUCUCACCAUAAGUCAUAAACCACCACAAUCAAACCAAAACCAUCACCAUCAAACCAUCAAACCCAACCUUUCUACUGGGGAAAAUUGCAGCAAUUUCGAUGGUCACCCAAUCCACAUACACAUCCCACAUAAUUAAUUGGACAAACAACACCACAAGAAGAUCAAAAUGAAAUUGAAAACCAAAGGAGUCGCAUGCCUUAACCCCUCAAAUCGCCACCUACAGUCACACCCAUGGUUGCGCCUCACUGUCAGUAGUCUCACCCAUUCUAGGCGAGCAUAUUCACGGUGGAACAUCAUCAAAACAAAAAAUAGAGUUGGGUUGCAUUAUCAGGAUUUUGAAAUUUUUAAUGAUGGGUUGGGUGGUUUUCAGGGGCUUUGAUGGAUGGUUGGGAGAAGGAAAUCGACCAAGGUUUGAUGAUGGGAUGAUGGUGGAGGAAUGUAAAGGUCGUCCCGCGAAGAAGGCGGCGACGACAAUGAUUUGAGGGAGAAAUGUUUGAUGAUUGGAUUAUUGUUUGGUAUGGGGGAAGAAGAUGAAAAUGAGGUGAGGUGGGGUAGAGAGGGUUUUUUUAGUAGUUUAAUUGUUGCUUUUAAUUCAAA
Molecule: long non-coding RNA, 949 nt
Filed under: Olea europaea subsp. europaea
Lineage: Eukaryota; Viridiplantae; Streptophyta; Magnoliopsida; Lamiales; Oleaceae
Source: RNAcentral